UUAGAGAGGGAGGUGGUGCACUGGCUAAAGGUCUAUUUCGAGGAGUUACUGGAAUUUUAACAAAGCCUCUAGAAGGUGCAAAAGCGUCAGGUGUAGAAGGUUUUGUUCAGGGUGUUGGGAAAGGAUUGAUUGGUGCGGCUGCCCAACCUGUAAGUGGGGUUUUGGAUCUCUUGUCGAAAACCACAGAAGGUGCAAAUGCUAUGAGAAUGAAGAUUGCAUCUGCUAUUGCUUCAGAAGAUCAACUCCUUCGCAGGAGGCUGCCUAGAGUUAUUAGUGGGGAUAACAGCCUCUAGAAGGUGCAAAAGCGUCAGGUGUAGAAGGUUUUGUUCAGGGUGUUGGGAAAGGAUUGAUUGGUGCGGCUGCCCAACCUGUAAGUGGGGUUUUGGAUCUCUUGUCGAAAACCACAGAAGGUGCAAAUGCUAUGAGAAUGAAGAUUGCAUCUGCUAUUGCUUCAGAAGAUCAACUCCUUCGCAGGAGGCUGCCUAGAGUUAUUAGUGGGGAUAAUUUACUUCGUCCUUAUGAUGAGUACAAAGCACGGGGUCAGGUAUGUUGCUUCUUUGCUGUUCUAUAGCACUGAAUCCUAUUAAAUUUAGAAGUUAGGAACUAAUGAUUUAACACUGGAAGGCUUGACAUUAUAGAAUGUGUAUUUUUCUAUAUGCAUUGCAUAUCAACUGGACAUACCUCCUCUUCCCUUGUGCAGAUGACUCUACCCAUUUUUCAGAAGUAAAUUCUACUUCAUGAAUUUAGAAAAUUUUAUUCUAUUAUUAAGGGUGCCAAUAGCAGUUGUUUCAACUUUCAGUAUCAAAAUGAUUAGCCAAUAAUUUAUCAUGUGAUCUGUUUGCAGCAAUUUUUUUAAAUUUUUUAUUUUUAAG
RNAcentral lists this long non-coding RNA (872 nucleotides) under Olea europaea (common olive). RNAcentral's name for it is "long non-coding RNA (OEUR_LNC002632)". The record is from RNAcentral. Lineage: Eukaryota; Viridiplantae; Streptophyta; Magnoliopsida; Lamiales; Oleaceae.